Molecule: ribosomal RNA, 253 nt
Filed under: uncultured prokaryote
Description: partial 16S ribosomal RNA
Rfam family: Bacterial small subunit ribosomal RNA
Source: RNAcentral
UACAGAGGUCUCAAGCGUUGUUCGGAUUCACUGGGCGUAAAGGGUGCGUAGGUGGCGAGGUAAGUCGGAUGUGAAAUCUCGGAGCUCAACUCCGAAACUGCAUUGGAAACUACCUUGCUCGAGGGUUGGAGGGGGGACUGGAAUUCUCGGUGUAGCAGUGAAAUGCGUAGAUAUCGGGAGGAACACCUGUGGCGAAAGCGGCGCACUGGACCACAACUGACGCUGAGGCGCGAAAGCUAGGGGAGCAAACAGG